Molecule: ribosomal RNA, 481 nt
Filed under: uncultured bacterium
Lineage: Bacteria
Description: bacterial SSU rRNA
Rfam family: Bacterial small subunit ribosomal RNA
Source: RNAcentral
GAUGAACGCUAGCGGGAGGCUUAACACAUGCAAGUCGAGCGGCAAGGCAGCAAUGCCCUAGAGCGGCGCACGGGUGAGUAACGCGUAUGCAACCUACCUUUUACAGGGGGAUAGCCCAGAGAAAUUCGGACUAAUAUCCCAUAACAAUAUCCGGGGCAUCUUUGGAUAUUUAAAGUUCCGGCGGUACGGGAUGGGCAUGCGUAACAUUAGCUAGUUGGUAAGGUAACGGCUUACCAAGGCUUUGAUGUUAGGGGUCCUGAGAGGGUGGUCCCCCACACUGGUACUGAGACACGGCCCAGACUCCUACGGGAGGCAGCAGUGGGGAAUAUUGGACAAUGGGCGAAAGCCUGAUCCAGCAAUGCCGCGUGAGUGAUGAAGGCCUUAGGGUUGUAAAGCUCUUUUACCAGGGAUGAUAAUGACAGUACCUGGAGAAUAAGCUCCGGCUAACUCCGUGCCAGCAGCCGACGGUAAAACGUGCGUG